This 369-nucleotide transfer-messenger RNA is filed under the name Christensenellaceae. RNAcentral describes it as "Scatosoma sp015055655 Standard tmRNA". It matches the Rfam family "transfer-messenger RNA". From Rfam's summary of the family: Bacterial tmRNA, also known as 10Sa RNA or SsrA, is named for its dual tRNA and mRNA-like properties. Its role is to liberate the mRNA from a stalled ribosome. The record is from RNAcentral. RNAcentral also lists the same sequence under 1 other name. Lineage: Bacteria; Bacillati; Bacillota; Clostridia; Christensenellales.
GGGGGUGUUCCGGAUUCGAUUGCCGGUGAGCGAAGGAAUAAGCAUACCGCAGAGGGAAAGACUGCGUUAAAACGCUCCACUUAAAUAUAAAUGCUAAUAAUCAAAAAGCAAACUACGCUCUUGCAGCGUAACUUCGUUUAUUAACGAAUCGUCGCGCCCGAUUUAUCCGUCGGUUGGGGCCGCGGCGUCAAUUAGACGGAAAACUCUCCAAAAAUAGGAAGGUGUUUUUGAAAGAGUAUUUAGCCUUCUGCGUCGUAUAAAGCGUGUUUACCCGCGUUAUGCGAUUAAGAAAUUAUAGAUAAACUAAGUAUGUAGAAAGUUUUUUGGCAGCCGAGUAAGACGUGAGUUCAACUCUCACCACCUCCACCA